Molecule: ribosomal RNA, 497 nt
Filed under: uncultured bacterium
Lineage: Bacteria
Description: partial 16S ribosomal RNA
Rfam family: Bacterial small subunit ribosomal RNA
Source: RNAcentral
GAUGAACGCUGGCGGCGUGCCUAAUACAUGCAAGACGAGCGAACGGACGAGAAGCUUGCUUUUCUGAUGUUAGCGGCGGACGGGUGAGUAACACGUGGAUAACCUACCUAUAAGACUGGGAUAACUUCGGGAAACCGGAGCUAAUACCGGAUAAUAUUUUGAACCGCAUGGUUCAAAAGUGAAAGACGGUCUUGCUGUCACUUAUAGAUGGAUCCGCGCUGCAUUAGCUAGUUGGUAAGGUAACGGCUUACCAAGGCAACGAUGCAUAGCCGACCUGAGAGGGUGAUCGGCCACACUGGAACUGAGACACGGUCCAGACUCCUACGGGAGGCAGCAGUAGGGAAUCUUCCGCAAUGGGCGAAAGCCUGACGGAGCAACGCCGCGUAAGUGAUGAAGGUCUUCGGAUCGUAAAACUCUGUUAUUAGGGAAGAACAUAUGUGUAAGUAACUGUGCACAUCUUGACGGUACCUAAUCAGAAAGCCACGGCUAACUACGUG